This 492-nucleotide ribosomal RNA is filed under the name uncultured bacterium. RNAcentral's name for it is "partial 16S ribosomal RNA". It matches the Rfam family "Bacterial small subunit ribosomal RNA", at positions 29 to 507 of the family's 1533-position model. The record is from RNAcentral.
AGUGAACGCUGGCGGUAGGCCUAACACAUGCAAGUCGAACGGCAGCACAGUAAGAGCUUGCUCUUACGGGUGGCGAGUGGCGGACGGGUGAGGAAUACAUCGGAAUCUACUUUUUCGGGGGGGAUAACGUAGGGAAACUUAUGCUAAUACAGCAUACGACCUACGGGUGAAAGCAGGGGAUCUUCGGACCUUGCGCGAUUGAAUGAGCCGAUGCCGGAUUAGCUAGUUGGCGGGGUAAGGGCCCACCAAGGCAACGAUCCGUAGCUGGUCUGAGAGGAUGAUCGGCCACACUGGAACUGAGACACGGUCCAGACUCCUACGGGAGGCAGCAGUGGGGAAUAUUGGACAAUGGGCGAAAGCCUGAUCCAGCAAUACCGCGUGGGUGAAGAAGGCCUUCGGGUUGUAAAGCCCUUUUGUUGGGAAAGAAAAGCAGCAGAUUAAUACCCCGCUGUUCUGACGGUACCCAAAGAAUAAGCACCGGCUAACUUCGUG